Molecule: long non-coding RNA, 1007 nt
Organism: Motacilla alba alba
Lineage: Eukaryota; Metazoa; Chordata; Aves; Passeriformes; Motacillidae
Exons: 3
Source: RefSeq, a predicted model, not a curated record
GGGCAGGGUGAGCACAGAGCAGCCGGGAGAGCCCAGGCGGUUCAGGGCGUUGUAUCGCCGUCCUCCUGCCUUCUCGCUUCCAGCUGGCUUGAUCAAUUUGCUUCUGCUCUACAUCUCCUAGAAAAAAGAAUGUAUUUGUUCCUGCAGGCUGAUUGCCAGGAAAGACAAGGGAAAAGAAUGAUCUGAUUCUGCAUUGCUUUGUACACAGCAAUCAUGCCUCAAAGAUGUUGUUGUCCUCUCUAAUUUAAGAAAACACAAGAAAUACAGGCAAAUUGUGAGAUCUGUAUGUUUUUCUUCAGUUUGUUCUAUUUAAAUCGCACACCAUUAAAUGUGGUUAAGAGAAUAACUUAAAGUUGCAAAGCAAUGCGAACAAACAUUGAUAAUGGAAUCUUAAUUCAGCUCCCUCGUGCAUGUGGAUACACUCUUCAAUUGGUUUAACACUGUCUUUUUUCUCUUUCAGAAAAUCUUGACACAUUCAGCACCCUAAAGAAAUAGGGUUUUGUCAAUAAUUUGAUUUCCCUGCACUUCUCAGUGACUCUGCCUUGCACUUUUUUAUACUGUGCACUCAUCUUCCUCUGCAUUACAUGGAGAAUGGUCCAUUUCUUUUCAGAAAAACCAUUCAAGUGUUUUCCAAGUUUUUUUGUUUCAUUUAGUUUUUUUACUCCACUCCUGAGGUAGGGCUGGUAUGUUGGUUUUCUGUUUCCCAGGUAAGACAUAUACAUUAAAACCCAAAAGUGUUGGUGACUUCUUAGUACCUGAUUUUUCACAAUUAGGAGCUCUACACUUUCAGAAGAGCUUGCAUGAUACCUUGAAGGAAUGGCUGUUACUCACCUUAUAUUAAAUUUGUGCUCCCAGCUGUUGGUUUUUAUGUACUCCUAGAGUGUGACUAGGAGAAUAUUAUGUUUUUCUUGGACUCAUUCUCAUAAGUGACUAAAUCUUUUUGUAUGAAAUUAUGCAGAGAGGCAGAGAAUCAACAUGGAGAAGUCCAUCUCAACAACAAAAUUUUG